GAUGAACGCUGGCGGCGUGCCUAAUACAUGCAAGUCGAGCGAACAGACGAGGAGCUUGCUCCUCUGACGUUAGCGGCGGACGGGUGAGUAAAACGUGGAUAACCUACCUAUAAGACUGGGAUAAAUUCGGGAAACCGGAGCUAAUACCGGAUAAUAUAUUGAACCGCAUGGUUCAAUAGUGAAAGACGGUUUUGCUGUCACUUAUAGAUGGAUCCGCGCCGCAUUAGCUAGUUGGUAAGGUAACGGCUUACCAAGGCAACGAUGCGUAGCCGACCUGAGAGGGUGAUCGGCCACACUGGAACUGAGACACGGUCCAGACUCCUACGGGAGGCAGCAGUAGGGAAUCUUCCGCAAUGGGCGAAAGCCUGACGGAGCAACGCCGCGUGAGUGAUGAAGGUCUUCGGAUCGUAAAACUCUGUUAUUAGGGAAGAACAAAUGUGUAAGUAACUAUGCACGUCUUGACGGUACCUAAUCAGAAAGCCACGGCUAACUACGUG
Molecule: ribosomal RNA, 497 nt
Filed under: uncultured bacterium
Lineage: Bacteria
Description: partial 16S ribosomal RNA
Rfam family: Bacterial small subunit ribosomal RNA
Source: RNAcentral